CUACGGGUGGCAGCAGUGAGGAAUAUUGCACAAUGGGGGGAACCCUGAUGCAGCAACGCCGCGUGGAGGAUGACGCAUUUCGGUGUGUAAACUCCUUUUAUAUGUCAAGAAAAUGACGGUAGCAUAUGAAUAAGCACCGGCUAACUCCGUGCCAGCAGCCGCGGUAAUACGGAGGGUGCAAGCGUUACUCGGAAUCACUGGGCGUAAAGGACGCGUAGGCGGGUUGGAAAGUCAGGUGUGAAAUCCUACAGCUUAACUGUAGAACUGCACUUGAAACUUCUAAUCUAGAGUAUGGGAGGGGGAGAUGGAAUUGGUGGUGUAGGGGUAAAAUCCGUAGAUAUCACUAGGAAUACCUAAAGCGAAGGCGAUCUCCUGGAACAUUACUGACGCUAAGGCGUGAAAGCGUGGGGAUCAAACAGGAUUAGAUACCCUUGUAGUC
This 439-nucleotide ribosomal RNA is filed under the name uncultured bacterium. RNAcentral describes it as "partial 16S ribosomal RNA". It matches the Rfam family "Bacterial small subunit ribosomal RNA", at positions 339 to 795 of the family's 1533-position model. The record is from RNAcentral.